UACGUAGGGUGCAAGCGUUGUCCGGAAUUAUUGGGCGUAAAGAGCUCGUAGGCGGUUCUCCAAGUCCGUUGUGAAAGCCCCGGGCUCAACCUGGGAAUGGCAGUGGAAACUAGGGGACUGGAAUCUGGCAGAGGGGGGUGGAAUGCCGCGUGUAGCAGUGAAAUGCGUAGAGAUGCGGCGGAACACCGAUGGCGAAGGCAGCCCCCUGGGCUGAGAUUGACGCUCAGGCACGAAAGCGUGGGGAGCAAACAGG
Molecule: ribosomal RNA, 253 nt
Filed under: uncultured bacterium
Lineage: Bacteria
Description: partial 16S ribosomal RNA
Rfam family: Bacterial small subunit ribosomal RNA
Source: RNAcentral